AGGACGAACGCUGGCGGCGUGCUUAACACAUGCAAGUCGAACGAGGAUUAGCGGAUUGAGAGUUCCGACAGGAUUGAAGCUAAUUCGAGUGGCGGACGGGUGAGUAACGCGUGAGCAAUCUGUCCCAGACAGGGGGAUAACACUUGGAAACAGGUGCUAAUACCGCAUAAGACCACGGCAUCGCAUGGUGCAGGGGUAAAAGGAGGAAUCCGGUUUGGGGUGAGUUCGCGUCCGAUUAGAUAGUUGGUGAGGUAACGGCCCACCAAGUCGACGAUCGGUAGCCGACCUGAGAGGGUGAUCGGCCACAUUGGAACUGAGAGACGGUCCAAACUCCUACGGGAGGCAGCAGUGGGGAAUAUUGGGCAAUGGGCGAAAGCCCUGACCCAGCAACGCCGCGUGAGUGAUGAAGGCCUUCGGGUUGUAAAGCUCUGUUAUAGGGGACGAAGGAAGUGACGGUACCCUAUAAGGAAGCCCCGGCUAACUACGUGCCAGCCGCCGC
RNAcentral lists this ribosomal RNA (499 nucleotides) under uncultured bacterium. Its description in RNAcentral is "bacterial SSU rRNA". It matches the Rfam family "Bacterial small subunit ribosomal RNA", at positions 26 to 518 of the family's 1533-position model. The record is from RNAcentral.